AGCAGCAUCACCACCUUGUAGCCUGAUCUUGUCAGAUCUCCGAACCCAAGCCAGGCUGUUCCUGGUUAGUACUGGGAUAGUAGACCUCCAUGGAAAACUAGGCUGAUGCUGUAA
This 114-nucleotide ribosomal RNA is filed under the name Lepisosteus oculatus (spotted gar). Lineage: Eukaryota; Metazoa; Chordata; Actinopteri; Semionotiformes; Lepisosteidae. The record is from RNAcentral.